CUUUCGGCUUACCACACCUCAAGUUAUUCAAUUCAAGCUUUCACAAUGGCCUGCAAGAUAGCACUAGUAGUCGUGUCUCUAUCGGUGUUAGCAUUCUUCCUAUGCCUUGUAGGUACUGCCGAAGCUCACCCCACGUGCAUGUUCAAGAUCAACCCUUACUAUCAUGGUGGAUGCAAGACAGAUUCUGAGAACGACAAAUGUGGAAUUGCUUGUGCCAGAUUUGAGAGACCAACGUACAUACAUGGUGUAUGCGCUAAUGAACUAUGCUUCUGUUCUAACUGUAAAUGAUCAUCGGACUUUUCCACUGCUGGGGGACCCAUGAAGAUACAUCACCGCCAUGGAAAGAUUAGAGCUCCUAGGAAAAUUGCCUUUUUUUGUUGUUGUAUGAGAAUAAAUUGGCGAUGUAUCUGACUAUGCUUUAGCAAGUAUCUGUUUCCGAUGAGUUA
Long non-coding RNA from Triticum dicoccoides, 446 nucleotides. RefSeq lists it as uncharacterized. The record is from RefSeq and is a predicted model, not a curated record. Lineage: Eukaryota; Viridiplantae; Streptophyta; Magnoliopsida; Poales; Poaceae. The transcript is spliced from 2 exons.